AAAGAAACCAACCGGGAUUGCCUCAGUAACGGCGAGUGAAGCGGCAAGAGCUCAAAUUUGAAAGCUGGCCCCUUCGGGGUCCGCGUUGUAAUUUGCAGAGGAUGCUUUGGGUGCGGCCCCCGUCUAAGUGCCCUGGAACGGGCCGUCAGAGAGGGUGAGAAUCCCGUCUUGGGCGGGGUGUCCGUGCCCGUGUAAAGCUCCUUCGACGAGUCGAGUUGUUUGGGAAUGCAGCUCUAAAUGGGUGGUAAAUUUCAUCUAAAGCUAAAUACUGGCCGGAGACCGAUAGCGCACAAGUAGAGUGAUCGAAAGAUGAAAAGCACUUUGAAAAGAGAGUUAAACAGCACGUGAAAUUGUUGAAAGGGAAGCGCUUGCGACCAGACUCGCCCUCGGGGUUCAGCCGGCACUCGUGCCGGUGUACUUCCCCGGGGGCGGGCCAGCGUCAGCUUGGGCGGCCGGUCAAAGGCCUCCGGAAUGUAGUGCCCCCCGGGGCACCUUAUAGCCGGAGGUGCAAUGCGGCCAGCCUGGGCUGAGGAACGCGCUUCGGCACGGACGCUGGCAUAAUGGUCGCAAACGAC
RNAcentral lists this ribosomal RNA (575 nucleotides) under Aspergillus aculeatus. RNAcentral's name for it is "eukaryotic LSU rRNA". It matches the Rfam family "Eukaryotic large subunit ribosomal RNA", at positions 58 to 648 of the family's 3401-position model. The record is from RNAcentral. Lineage: Eukaryota; Fungi; Ascomycota; Eurotiomycetes; Eurotiales; Aspergillaceae.